This 68-nucleotide transfer RNA is filed under the name Urocitellus parryii (Arctic ground squirrel). RNAcentral describes it as "Spermophilus parryii (Arctic ground squirrel) tRNA". It matches the Rfam family "tRNA". From Rfam's summary of the family: Transfer RNA (tRNA) molecules are approximately 80 nucleotides in length. Their secondary structure includes four short double-helical elements and three loops (D, anti-codon, and T loops). Lineage: Eukaryota; Metazoa; Chordata; Mammalia; Rodentia; Sciuridae. The record is from Rfam by way of RNAcentral. RNAcentral also lists the same sequence under 2 other names.
GGGUGUGGCUCAGUGGUAGAGCACUUGCCUAGCAGGUGAGGCCCUUGGUUUGAUUCCUAGCACCACCA